AAUUCUAAGAUUCUUGAUAGAAGCCUCAGACUGCUGCAGAUCUGAAAUUAUUUUGUUCUUUUCAUCUUGUAGUGCUAAUAUUUCAGCUUGGUGACUACACUUCGCCUCUUCUAGUUGCAUCUUCAACCGUGAGUUAAUAUUUUGUAGGUCUUCAUUAGCAAGCUGCAGAACAGAAAUUUGUUCAACUUGCUGCUCUAACUGAACUCUUAAGGUCUUGACUGAAUCAUUUGACUGAUGUAAGCUGUUAAUGGCCUCUUCCUUCUCUCCUUGUAGCACAAUAAUCUCAUCUUGCAGAUUAGUCCUUAUCUCUUCAAGUUGCUUGUGUAACCUAGAAUUUGUACUCUGCAUCUCUUCAUUUUCUCGCUGGAAAUGUAAAAUUUGGUUUUGCUGUUGUACCAUGUCACUUUGAAGUUCCUUGAUGUUAGCCUCUGAUUGCUGUAACUGAGCGAGUGCUGCAUUUUUCUCCGCUUGCAGUGCCAUAACCUCAUUAUACAGAUCAGUCUUUCCUGCUUCGAGGUCUUUAUUGGCCUCCUGAAGUUUUGAAAUCUCUUGGACUUGUUGUUCUAACUUGCUCUCAAGAUUAAUAACAGAAGUAGCAGGUUCAUUUUUUUGUCCUUGUAAUUCAACAAUUUCAUUAUGCAGGUUAGAAUUUGCCAGCUCCAGGCCUUCAUUAGUCUUCUGCAUAUCUGAAAUCCUCUCAAGUUGUUGUGCUAGCUCAGUCUUAAGAUUCAUCAAAGAAGCCUCUAGCUGCUCUAUCUCUGACAUGGCAGAAUCAUUAUCCUUCUGUAGCUCGGCAAUAUUACUUACAAGAAUCUUGAUAGAAGCCUCAGACUGCUGCAGAUCUGAAAUUAUUUUGUUCUUUUCAUCUUGUAGUGCUAAUAUUUCAGCUUGGUGACUAAACUUCGCCUCUUCCAGUUGCAUCUUCAACUUGGAGUUACUUUUUUGUAGGUCUUCAUUAGCAAGCUGCAGGUCAGAAAUUUGUUCAACUCGCUGGUCUAACAGAACUCCAAGGGUCUUGAGUGAAUCAUUUGACUUCUGUAAGCUAUUAAUGGCCUCUUCCUUCACUCCUUGUAGCACAAUGAUCUCAUCUUCCAGAUUAGUCCUUAUCUCUUCAAGUUGCUUGUGUAAACUAGAAUUUGUACUCUGCAGCUCUUCAUUUUCUCGCUGGAAAUAUGAAAUUUGGUUUUGCUGCUGUACCAGGUCACUUUGAAGUUUCUUGAUGUUAGCCUCUGAUUCCUGUAACUGGGCGAGUGCUGCAUUUUUCUCCUCUUGCAGUGCCGUAAUCUCAUUAUACAGGUCAGUCUUAGCUGCUUUAAGGUCUUUGUUGGCUUUCUGAAGAUUUGAAAUCUCUUGGACUUGUUGUUCUAACUUGCUCUCAAGAUUAAUAACAGAAUCAGCAGCUUCAUUUUUUUGUCCAUGUAAUUCUACAAUUUCAUUAUGCAGGUUAGAAUUUGCCAGCUCCAGGCCUUCAUUAGUCUUCUGCAUAUCUGAAAUCCGCUCAAGUUGUUGUGCUAGCUCAGUCUUAAGAUUCAUCAAAGAAGCCUCUAGCUGCUCUAUCUCUGACGUGGCAGAAUCAUUAUCCUUCUGUAGCUCGGCAAUAUUACUUACAAGAUUCUUGAUAGAAGCCUCAGACUGCUGCAGAUCUGAAAUUAUUUUGUUCUUUUCAUCUUGUUGUGCUAAUAUUUCAGCUUGGUGAAUAAACUUCGCCUGUUCUUGUUGCAUCUUCAACUGUGAGUUACUAUUUUGUAGGUCUUCAUUAGCAAGCUGCAGAACAGAAAUUUGUUCAACUGCCUGCUCUAACUGAGCUCCUAACGUCUUGACUGAAUCAUUGGACUGAUGUAAGUUGUUAAUGGCCUCUUCCUUCUCUCCUUGUAGCACAAUGAUCUCAUCUUGCAGAUUAGUCCUUAUCUCUUCAAGUUGCUUGUGUAACCUAGAAUUUGUACUCUGCAGCUCUUCAUUUUCUCGCUGGAAAAGUAAAAUUUGGUUUUGCUGCUGUACCAUGUCACUUUGAAGUUCCUUGAUGUUAGCCUCUGAUUGCUGUAACUGAGCGAGUGCUGCAUUUUUCUCCGCUUGCAGUGCCAUAACCUCAUUAUACAGAUCGCUCUUUCCUGCUUCGAGGUCUUUGUUGGCCUCCUGAAGUUUUGAAAUCUCUUGGACUUGUUGUUCUAACUUGCUCUCAAGAUUAAUAACUGAAGCAGCAGCUUCAUUUUUUUGUCCUUGUAAUUCUACCAUUUCAUUAUGUAGGUUAGAAUUUGCAAGCUCCAGACCUUCAUUAGUCUUCUGCAUAUCUGAAAUGCUCUCAAUCUGUUGUGCUAGCUCAGUUUUAAGAUUCAUCAAAGAAGCCUCUAGCUGCUCUAUCUUUGAGGUGGCACAAUCAUUAUCUUUCUGUAGCUCGGAAAUAUUACUUACAAGAUUCUGGAUAGAAGCCUCAGACUGCUGCAGAUCUGAAAUUAUUUUGUUCUUUUCAUCUUGUAGUGCUAAUAUUUCAGCUUGGUGACUAAACUUCGCCUCUUCCAGUUGCAUCUUCAACUUGGAGUUACUAUUUUGUAGGUCUUCAUUAGCAAGCUGCAGGUCAGAAAUUUGUUCCACUCGCUGGUCUAACAGAACUCCAAGGGUCUUGACUGAAUCAUUUGACUUCUGUAAGCUAUUAAUGGCCUCUUCCUUCACUCCUUGUAGCACAAUGAUCUCAUCUUGCAGAUUAGUUCUUAUCUCUUCAAGUUGCUUGUGUAAACUAGAAUUUGUACUCUGCAGCUCUUCAUUUUCUCGCUGGAAAUGUGAAAUUUGGUUCUGCUGCUGUACCAGGUCACUUUGAAGUUUCUUGAUGUUAGCCUCUGAUUCCUGUAACUGAGCGAGUGCUGUAUUUUUCUCCUCUUGCAGUGUCGUAACCUCAUUAUACAGAUCUGUCUUGGCUGCUUUGAGGUCUUUGUUGGCUUCCUGAAGAUUUGAAAUCUCUUGGACUUGUUGUUCUAACUUGCUCUCAAGAUUAAUAACAGAAGCAGCAGCUUCAUUUUUUUGUCCUUGUAAUUCUACAAUUUCAUUAUGCAGGUUAGAAUUUGCUAGUUCCAGGCCUUCAUUAGUCUUCUGCAUAUCUGAAAUCCUCUCAAGUUGUUGUGCUAGCUCAGUCUUAAGAUUCAUCAAAGAAAUCUCUAGCUGCUCUAUCUCUGAUGUCGCAGAAUCAUUAUCCUUUUGUAGCUCGGCAAUAUUACUUACAAGAUUCUUAAUAGAAGCCUCAGACUGCUGCAGAUCUGAAAUUAUUUUGUUCUUUUCAUCUUGUUGUGCUAAUAUUUCAGCUUGGUGACUAAACUUCGCCUGUUCUUGUUGCAUCUUCAACUGUGAGUUACUAUUUUGUAGGUCUUCAUUAGCAAGCUGCAGAACAGAAAUUUGUUCAACUGCCUGCUUUAACUGAGCUCCUAAGGUCUUGACUGAAUCAUUUGACUGAUGUAAGUUGUUAAUGGCCUCUUCCUUCUCUCCUUGUAGCACAAUGAUCUCAUCUUGCAGAGUAGUCCUUAUCUCUUCAAGUUGCUUGUGUAAACUAGAAUUUGUAUUCUGCAGCUCUUCAUUUUCUCGCUGGAAAAGUGAAAUUUGAUUUUGCUGUUGUACCAGGUCACUUUGAAGUUUCUUAAUGUUAGCCUCUGAUUGCUGUAACUGAGUGAGUGCUGUAUUUUUCUCCUCUUGCAGUAUUGUAACCUCAUUAUACAGAUCAGUCUUGGCUGCUUUGAG
RNAcentral lists this long non-coding RNA (3720 nucleotides) under Setaria italica (foxtail millet). RNAcentral's name for it is "long non-coding RNA (SITA_LNC003869)". The record is from RNAcentral. Lineage: Eukaryota; Viridiplantae; Streptophyta; Magnoliopsida; Poales; Poaceae.